RNAcentral lists this ribosomal RNA (517 nucleotides) under uncultured bacterium. RNAcentral's name for it is "bacterial SSU rRNA". It matches the Rfam family "Bacterial small subunit ribosomal RNA", at positions 791 to 1310 of the family's 1533-position model. The record is from RNAcentral.
UAGUCCACGCCGUAAACGAUGAAUGCUAGGUGUCGGGGGUCGAACCUCGGUGCCGCAGUUAACGCAAUAAGCAUUCCACCUGGGGAGUACGAUCGCAAGAUUGAAACUCAAAGGAAUUGACGGGGGCCCGCACAAGCGGUGGAGCAUGUGGUUUAAUUCGAAGCAACGCGAAGAACCUUACCAAUUCUUGACAUCCUUUUGACCGUUCCUUAAUCGGAACUUCUCUUCGGAGCAAAAGUGACAGGUGGUGCAUGGUUGUCGUCAGCUCGUGUCGUGAGAUGUUGGGUUAAGUCCCGCAACGAGCGCAACCCUUAUCUUUAGUAGCCAGCACGUUAUGGUGGGAACUCUAGAGAGACUGCCGGGGACAACUCGGAGGAAGGUGGGGAUGACGUCAAAUCAUCAUGCCCCUUAUGAAUUGGGCUACACACGUGCUACAAUGGCCGUGACAAAGAGUUGCUACUUUGUGAAAACAAGCUAAUCUCAUAAACGCGGCCUCAGUUCGGAUUGCAGGCUGAAA